Molecule: ribosomal RNA, 382 nt
Filed under: uncultured eukaryote
Lineage: Eukaryota
Description: partial 18S ribosomal RNA
Rfam family: Eukaryotic small subunit ribosomal RNA
Source: RNAcentral
CAAUAGCGUAUAUUAAAGUUGUUGCAGUUAAAAAGCUCGUAGUUGGAUUUCUGGUUGAAGCGACCGGUCGGGCGUUGAUUCGUCUGCACUGGAGUCGGUUUUGGCCAUCCUCUAGGAAAGUGCGUCUGGUAUUAAGUUAUCGGGCGUAUGAUCCUGGUCUUUUACUGUGAAAAAAUUAGAGUGUUUAAAGCAGGCCUUCGCCUUGAAUACAUUAGCAUGGAAUAAUAAGAUAGGACUUUGGUCUAUUUUGUUGGUUUGCAGACCGAAGUAAUGAUUAAUAGGGAUAGUUGGGGGUAUUUAUAUUCCGAUUUCAGAGGUGAAAUUCUUAGAUUUUCGGAAGAUAAACUUAUGCGAAAGCAUUUACCAAGGAUGUUUUCAUUAA